RNAcentral lists this ribosomal RNA (1541 nucleotides) under Escherichia coli. RNAcentral's name for it is "partial 23S ribosomal RNA". It matches the Rfam family "Bacterial large subunit ribosomal RNA", at positions 1272 to 2798 of the family's 2925-position model. Lineage: Bacteria; Pseudomonadati; Pseudomonadota; Gammaproteobacteria; Enterobacterales; Enterobacteriaceae. The record is from RNAcentral.
GCUGGAGGUAUCAGAAGUGCGAAUGCUGACAUAAGUAACGAUAAAGCGGGUGAAAAGCCCGCUCGCCGGAAGACCAAGGGUUCCUGUCCAACGUUAAUCGGGGCAGGGUGAGUCGACCCCUAAGGCGAGGCCGAAAGGCGUAGUCGAUGGGAAACAGGUUAAUAUUCCUGUACUUGGUGUUACUGCGAAGGGGGGACGGAGAAGGCUAUGUUGGCCGGGCGACGGUUGUCCCGGUUUAAGCGUGUAGGCUGGUUUUCCAGGCAAAUCCGGAAAAUCAAGGCUGAGGCGUGAUGACGAGGCACUACGGUGCUGAAGCAACAAAUGCCCUGCUUCCAGGAAAAGCCUCUAAGCAUCAGGUAACAUCAAAUCGUACCCCAAACCGACACAGGUGGUCAGGUAGAGAAUACCAAGGCGCUUGAGAGAACUCGGGUGAAGGAACUAGGCAAAAUGGUGCCGUAACUUCGGGAGAAGGCACGCUGAUAUGUAGGUGAAGUCCCUCGCGGAUGGAGCUGAAAUCAGUCGAAGAUACCAGCUGGCUGCAACUGUUUAUUAAAAACACAGCACUGUGCAAACACGAAAGUGGACGUAUACGGUGUGACGCCUGCCCGGUGCCGGAAGGUUAAUUGAUGGGGUCAGCGCAAGCGAAGCUCUUGAUCGAAGCCCCGGUAAACGGCGGCCGUAACUAUAACGGUCCUAAGGUAGCGAAAUUCCUUGUCGGGUAAGUUCCGACCUGCACGAAUGGCGUAAUGAUGGCCAGGCUGUCUCCACCCGAGACUCAGUGAAAUUGAACUCGCUGUGAAGAUGCAGUGUACCCGCGGCAAGACGGAAAGACCCCGUGAACCUUUACUAUAGCUUGACACUGAACAUUGAGCCUUGAUGUGUAGGAUAGGUGGGAGGCUUAGAAGUGUGGACGCCAGUCUGCAUGGAGCCGACCUUGAAAUACCACCCUUUAAUGUUUGAUGUUCUAACGUUGACCCGUAAUCCGGGUUGCGGACAGUGUCUGGUGGGUAGUUUGACUGGGGCGGUCUCCUCCUAAAGAGUAACGGAGGAGCACGAAGGUUGGCUAAUCCUGGUCGGACAUCAGGAGGUUAGUGCAAUGGCAUAAGCCAGCUUGACUGCGAGCGUGACGGCGCGAGCAGGUGCGAAAGCAGGUCAUAGUGAUCCGGUGGUUCUGAAUGGAAGGGCCAUCGCUCAACGGAUAAAAGGUACUCCGGGGAUAACAGGCUGAUACCGCCCAAGAGUUCAUAUCGACGGCGGUGUUUGGCACCUCGAUGUCGGCUCAUCACAUCCUGGGGCUGAAGUAGGUCCCAAGGGUAUGGCUGUUCGCCAUUUAAAGUGGUACGCGAGCUGGGUUUAGAACGUCGUGAGACAGUUCGGUCCCUAUCUGCCGUGGGCGCUGGAGAACUGAGGGGGGCUGCUCCUAGUACGAGAGGACCGGAGUGGACGCAUCACUGGUGUUCGGGUUGUCAUGCCAAUGGCACUGCCCGGUAGCUAAAUGCGGAAGAGAUAAGUGCUGAAAGCAUCUAAGCACGAAACUUGCC